RNAcentral lists this ribosomal RNA (406 nucleotides) under uncultured bacterium. RNAcentral's name for it is "partial 16S ribosomal RNA". It matches the Rfam family "Bacterial small subunit ribosomal RNA", at positions 30 to 526 of the family's 1533-position model. The record is from RNAcentral.
AUUGAACGCUGGCGGCAGGCCUAACACAUGCAAGUCGAACGAGUGGCGGACGGGUGAGGAAUGUCUGGUAACCUGCCCGAUGGAGGGGGAUAACUACUGGAAACGGUAGCUAAUACCGCAUACCAUCGGAUGUGCCCAGAUGGUAUUAGCUUGUGGGGGAGGUAACGGCUCACAUAGGCGACGAUCCCUAGCUGGUCUGAGAGGGUGACCAGCCACACUGGAACUGAGACACGGUCCAGACUCCUACGGGAGGCAGCAGUGGGGAAUAUUGCACAAUGGGCGAAAGCCUGAUGCAGCAAUGCCGCGUGUAUGAAGAAGGCCUUCGGGUUGUAAAGUACUUUCAGCGGGGAGGCGGUACCCGAAGAAGAAGCAACGGCUAACUCCGUGCCAGCAGCCGCGGUAAUUC